CCUACGGUGGGCUGCAGUGAGGAAUAUUGGUCCAUGGGCGCGAGCCUGAACCAGCCAAGUAGCGUGAAGGAUGACUGCCCUACGGGUUGUCAACCUCUUUUUUAAAGGAAUACAGUGAGGCACGUGUGCCUUUUUGUCUGUACUUUAUGAAUAAGGAUCGGCUAACUCCGUGCCAGCAGCCGCGGUCAUACGGAGGAUCCGAGCGUUAUCCGGAUUUAUUGGGUUUAAAGGGAGAGUAGAUGGGUUGUUAUGUCAGUUGUGAAAGUUUGCGGCUCAACCGUAAAAUUGCAAUUGAUACUGGAAGCCUUGAGUACAGUUGAGGUAGGCGGAAUUCGUGGUGUAGCGGUGAAAUGCUUAGAUAUCACGAAGAACUCCGAUUGCGAAGGCAGCCUAAUAAACUGCCACUGACAUUGAUGCUCGAAAGUGUGGGUAUCAAACAGGAUUAGAUACCCUAGUAGUC
This 460-nucleotide ribosomal RNA is filed under the name uncultured bacterium. Its description in RNAcentral is "partial 16S ribosomal RNA". It matches the Rfam family "Bacterial small subunit ribosomal RNA", at positions 338 to 795 of the family's 1533-position model. The record is from RNAcentral.